GAUGAAGAACGUAGCGAAAUGCGAUAAGUAAUGUGAAUUGCAGAAUCCAGUGAAUCAUCGAAUCUUUGAACGCACAUUGCGCCCUUUGGUAUUCCUUAGGGCAUGCCUGUUCGAGCGUCAUUUGAAACCUCAAGCUCAGCUUGGUGUUGGGUGUCUGUCCCCGCCUCCGCGGGGACUCGCCUCAAAAUCAUUGGCGGCCGGUACGUUGGCUUCGAGCGCAGCAGAAACGCGAACUCGAGGCCCGGCGGAUCGGCGACCAGAAGUCUCUUCUUCACAGUUUGACCUCGGAUCAGGUAGGGAUACCCGCUGAACUUAAGCAUAUCAAUAAGCGGAGGA
Molecule: unclassified non-coding RNA, 336 nt
Filed under: soil metagenome
Description: partial contains 5.8S ribosomal RNA, internal transcribed spacer 2, and large subunit ribosomal RNA
Rfam family: 5.8S ribosomal RNA (bases 1-120)
Source: RNAcentral